UACGUAGGGGGCAAGCGUUAUCCGGAAUUACUGGGUGUAAAGGGAGCGUAGACGGUAAUGUAAGUCUGGAGUGAAAGGCGGGGGCCCAACCCCCGGACUGCUCUGGAAACUAUGUUACUAGAGUGCAGGAGAGGUAAGCGGAAUUCCUAGUGUAGCGGUGAAAUGCGUAGAUAUUAGGAGGAACACCGGUGGCGAAGGCGGCUUGCUGGACGGUAACUGACGUUGAGGCUCGAAAGCGUGGGGAGCAAACAGG
Molecule: ribosomal RNA, 253 nt
Filed under: uncultured bacterium
Lineage: Bacteria
Description: partial 16S ribosomal RNA
Rfam family: Bacterial small subunit ribosomal RNA
Source: RNAcentral